Molecule: non-coding RNA, 71 nt
Organism: Aplosporella prunicola CBS 121167
Lineage: Eukaryota; Fungi; Ascomycota; Dothideomycetes; Botryosphaeriales; Aplosporellaceae
Source: the annotation of a RefSeq genome assembly
UUCUUUUUAGCUUAAAGGAAAAGCAGGAUACUUCUAAUAUCCAGAUCCAAGUUCGAGUCUUGGAUAAGAAU